UUUUCUUCUUCUUCAACGUCCUCCAAUGCAGGCAUGUCCUCAAACUCUCCUUCACUUUCACUCACCACCUCUCCAUUAUCCAACAAAACCAUUACCCGUUUAUUUGGGCAUUGAGAAGCAAUGUGCCCGGACCCCAAGCAUCUGAAACACUUGAUGUCUCGAUUCCUUGAUGGUUGUGAAUCUGUUUUGGGUGCUGUUUUGCUAGCACUUUCUUUUUUCCCUUUCUG
Molecule: long non-coding RNA, 227 nt
Filed under: Olea europaea (common olive)
Lineage: Eukaryota; Viridiplantae; Streptophyta; Magnoliopsida; Lamiales; Oleaceae
Description: long non-coding RNA (OEUR_LNC014646)
Source: RNAcentral